AUUUUUGCAGCGAAGCUGCUGCCGCUGGAACUGAACCGGGGGACUCAGCUGCGGGCGGUGGAUUGUUUCUUAUCCUUCCCUCCAUCGGCUCCACAGAGGAGCUGCCUUCUUUCCUUCUCGUGCCAAGUUUAAAGCCCACUCAUCUCUGAUGAAAGCACCUGCUGAUAUAGAGGAAACAUCUUGGAAGGCUGAGCACAACUUCCUUAAAUAGUCACCUGGACCAGCCAUUGAUUUGUCCUGAGUGAGAAAUGAACCUUUAUUGUAUUAUGCUAUUGAGAUUUGGUCACAACCACAGCAUUCCCUAGUCGACCCUGCCUAAUAUGACAGUACUUAUAGUUUGAGUCUAUAAUUGUUGAUUUCCUUGUUUGAGUGUCUCCCCACUAAUACCUGAGGUCCAAAGGGCAGGGAAUCCUAUCCUAUAUAAUAAAAGUGUGAUAUGCAAAUAAACCGAACAGUGGAACGACCGGUUGCUAUGAUGCGCACUGACCACCAGGGGGCAGGCACUCAACGCAGGAGCUGCCCCCUGGUGGUCAGUGCGCUCCCACAGGGUGAGUGCAGCUCAGCCAGAAGUCAGCUGAUGACUGGCGAGCGCAGCGGCGGUAGCUUAGGCCUAAAGGAACGAGCCUAAGCAGUCAGUCAGACAUCCCCCGCGGGCUCCCAGAUUGCAAAAGGGUGCAGGCCAGGUGAAGGGACCCUCCCCCACGUUGAGUGCAUGAAUGUCGUGCACCAGGCCUCUAUUAAUCUAUAAUGUCACUGUCCUAUCUCCAGCACCUAGAACUGUCCUUGGGAUGUAAUACACAAUUAAAAAAUGCUUGUUAAGUGAAUGAAUAAAUGUUCACUAAAAAUCAUCUCAUUUAUCUACCAGCCACUGAUGUAUGAUACUGUCUGAAUAAUAAAAGGGGAAAUGAGACAUGUACUCAAAAAGCAAAAACUGUUAAGUUUUCUGGGAGACCUGCUACAGUACUGAGUGUCUAAAGGAGGAAAAUGUUUUUCUGCACUGACUAUUGGGAGUGAGCACUGGGGUGUGGUGUUGACUAACUUAAAAAAAAGGUGAAGGAGGCAAAGAACUAAAACACAGAUGUCCUAUUACAUACUAGACACUAUACAAGAAGUUUAUAAAUGCUUCCUCAGUUAAAACGCACAAACACCUGGAAAGUGGGUAUGAUAUUUCAGACUUUACUGUUGAGAAAAUUGAGAGGGAUGGGGUUUAACUACCCCAGCCAAGUUCACACCCAGUUAUAACAUGGUAAAGGGCUAUUUGUGACUUAUCCUAUAUAAUAAAAGCCUAAUAUGCUGCGUCUGGCAGGCCAUUCAACCAAUCAAAGUGUAAUAUGCUAAUGAUAUGCUAAGGCCACUCAACUGCUUGCUAUGACAUGCACUGACCACCUGGGGCAGACAGUCGACCUGUUGACCAGUCACUAUGACAUGCACUGACCAACAGAGGGCAGACGUUCCAACCAGUAGGUUAGCUUGCUGCUGGGGUCCGGCCGAUUGGGACUGAACGAGAUGGGCCAGACAUGUCCUGGAGCCCUCCCACGUUCCCUCCCUGGCUGGCCAACCUCCUGUGUCCCUCCUUGGCCCCGACUGUGCACCAGUGGGGUCCCUCGAGCAUGGCCUGUGCCCUCUUGCAAUCUGGAACCCCUCGGGGUAUGUUGGAGAGCUGGUUUCGGCCCGAUCACGCAGGCACAAAUUCGUGCACCAGGCCUCUAGUGUCCGUAUAAAGUCCAACCCCAGGCUUGUUCCUAAGCAUCAUUUGAUAGAGCUUAUAAAUGCCUUAUACUAAAAUUGGAUGAGAUGAUCUUUGUGUUUAAAACAGAUAACUUACAGUCUACAUAAAAGUCUUAAAUAAGUCAGUGUGUCUUCAUAGAAACAGAUGGUGUUGAACAAACAGACAACUGGGAAGAAAGAGCAGGCACGACCUUCCAUCACAUAGCAUACACUCUAUUUGUACCACAGGCCUGAUGGUGAAUUAUAUGUGUCAACAUGGCUGGGCUAUGGUACCCAGUUGUUUAAUCAAACAGUAAUCUAGACAUUGUUGUAAGGUAUUUCUUUUAGGUGUCAUUAACAUUUAAAAAAUCAGUAGACUUUGAGUAAAGCAGAUUAUUCUCCGUAAUGUGUGUGGGCCUCCUUCAAACAGUGUGAGGGUUUAAGAACAAAGACUGAGAUCUUUUAAGAAGAAAGAAGUGCUAUCACCAGAAUGCCUUUGGCCUCAGGACUCAAUAUCAACUCUUUCCUGAGUCUCCAGCCUGCCAACAAUAACCUGCAUUUUUUUUGGAUUUGAUAGCCCAACAAUCACAUGUGCCAAUUCCUUAAAAUAAAUCUCUGUGUAUACACACACACACACACACACCUUACUUAUUGCAGUUCCCCAGAGAACCCUAACACAAUAGGUUAAUAAAAUAAGGAGAAUAUGGUAGCAAUGAAGUUCAGUGAAAUGGGAACUCAUACAUUCCUAAUACAUGUCUAUAAUGCUUUUUAAUACAGCUUAACAAAAUAUAUAGCCUUAAAAGUCUUUGUCCUUGUAAACCAGUAAUAUUAGUUAUAUGAAUCUAAAACAGGUCAUUAGAAGUUGAAGAAUAGGAAAUUAGAAAAACCUGAAUUUCCAACUCAAGUUCAUUAAAUAAACUCACUAUAAAAUAUGAUUCAACAAUUAAAGUGAUACGGAGAAAGAUUUUCACAAUUUGGCAAAUGCUUAAGUUGAAUAGCUAAUGAAAAAAAAAUGAGAACACAUCAUUAUAUAUGCUCUCAACAAUGAAAUAUAAACACACACAAGAGAAUAGGAGAACAACAGUAGGACCUUUUCUCUGUGAUGGGGUUAGUAGCAAUUUUAUUUCUCUCUCCCUCUCUCUCUCUUUUUUUAAAUAAUCACCUGAGGAUAUUUUUUUUCUUUUAGUGAUAGUGGAAGGGAGGGAGGAAGCAGGAGUGGAGAGGGAGGAGAGAAACAACGAUGUGAGAGAGACACAUCGAUUGGUUGCCUCCUGCACAUGCCCCAACCAGAGCUGGGGUUAAACCUGAAACCCAGUUACAUGCCCUUGACCCAGAAUCAAACCCGAGACCCUUGGUUGCACACGCCAGUGCUCUAACCACUUAGCAACAUCACCCAGGGCUUGCUUCUCUUUUUGAUAAAUACCGACAUUUUCCAAUUUGUCCCAAAAUGAGUAUAUAUUUUAUUAUUUUAAAUAGAUAUUAUUUCAAAAUACAUUUUAAUAAGUAUAUUUCUAGGUAUGUUUUUUAUUAUUAGCUGACAAGAAAUGUUUAAACAACCAGAGGUGACAGUAUCAAAAUAAAUUGCAGUGUAUUUUAAGUAGCCAUUUCCUUCUGACCUGGAUCAGACAUCAAUUUAAGAAAAGUGUAAAUCUUUCUUUAAAAUCUAGGAGCAUUAAUUCUACAUCAAAAAAUGUCAAAACUCUCAUGUAAGACCCCAAAACAAGCAUCCUCAUUGAAUGAAAGAAUAACAGCUAUCAAUGACAUAUCUUUGAAAAGAUUUUUAAAAAAAACUGCAUAAGAAUCCAAGACUUUCAUUUUUAACAUAAACUAAUUCUGUCUUUGUGCUUCUGAGUUUCUCAUAAAGUUAUUUGUAAAAUAAUAUGAAUGUACCCCUGCCAGCUUGUUUUACAAUAUGUUGUAGGAAUAGAGACUUUAUUUUUGUCUAUCUUUAUGUCUUCCUCUAUAUUUCCAUGCAAAGAGUUCCACUAUUUGCCCUCCACUGAGCCAAUUUUGUCCCAAUGUAGCUGCUCAAUUCGAAUGGCCCUUCUCACCAGCUCACCUUCUGCCAGGCCUUGGUGCCAUCAUUGAACCAGAGCUUUGGAAAACACUAACUGAAAGUCUCAAAGUGGGAAAAGAUGAAUGGCUGCUUUGUCCCAUGGAAAACGUAUUUUUCUAAAGGAAUAUUAUCACUUUGUAUUGACCGUCCAGCUUCCCGCUGUCAAUAGCUAAGCAAGUUGGAUCGAUAGGACCAGAUGUGAUCGGCUGAAGUGAUUCUUUUCCCUAGAAAAAUCCAGACAUGCACAAGUCCAGUCUGAAAGCUACUACUGAAUGGAAUUGCCAGCUAAAAUAUAAGACCUCCAGUGAAAUUUGAAGUUCAGACACAUUUUCAUAUAAGUAUGUCCCAAGUAUUGCGUAUGGCAUGACUCCUGAACUAUUGGGGCCAUCCUUAUAGAAAGUAUGUUUUUAAUAUAUAUAUAUAUAUUUGUAUUAAUUUCAGAGAGGAAGAGAGAGGGAGAAAUAGAAACAUCGGUGAUGAGAGGGAAUCAUUGAUUGGCUGCCUCCUGCACACCCCCUACUGGGGAUCAAGCCCACAAUCCGGGCAUGUGCCCUUGACUAGAAUCAAACCCGGGACCCUUCAGUCUGCAGGCUGACGUUCUAGCCACUGAACCAAACCGGCUGGGGCCUUAUAGAAAGUAUUUAUUGCUUGUGUGAGAUGCCAAUUUAGCUGGGUGUUCUGUGUGUUUAUUUCCUAAAUAUGGCCAGCCUGCUCCUAAUGGAUGCACCAAAACACUUUACAGGCCUUUCAGGGGGGCACAAGAAUGGGGAGAAUUCAAAUUGAAUGACAACUAUCCACACUUAACAUUUUCAAUCCUCUUUAUACACCAACCAGGUGAACCCAAAAGUCCCCAAAGGAAGUCUCCCUUAAGAGAGUUCAGCCACAGUCAUGUCUCUCUAUAUGAAUCCAUACAGUUUUCCAGGAGCUGUUUUCAUUGUCAUUGUAAACUUGUUUCUGUUUUUGUUUGUUUGUUUGUUUGUUUUUAACAUGAGGGGAAACAAUCCGUUUUUCUAAAACUGUAAUUCACCACAGUAAAGUGCCUGUGAAGAAUGACAAACGCCCCGAUCCCCAUCUCUGUUAUCAGAAAAGUCCAAUUUAGAGAACCAGACAAUUGUGCAAAACACAAGAGGACAGGAGCCGAAGGGCAGUGCUCCCCAAAGUGUGUUCCCCGGACCAGCGCUGCCCCGCAGACUCUCACAUGCACCAGCAAGUGCGGGGAUCUGGAUUACAUGCUCAGCAACUUUCUAGUAACUUGUCAGAAGAAUUGUAUGUCUCUUGUGUCUAAAUAAUAAAAGUUUGGACUUGUAUUUUAAAAA
Myotis daubentonii (Daubenton's bat) is the source of this 5079-nucleotide long non-coding RNA. RefSeq lists it as uncharacterized. The transcript is spliced from 2 exons. The record is from RefSeq and is a predicted model, not a curated record. NCBI's taxonomy places the organism in Eukaryota, Metazoa, Chordata, Mammalia, Chiroptera, Vespertilionidae.